This is a transfer RNA of 71 nucleotides. It matches the Rfam family "tRNA". From Rfam's summary of the family: Transfer RNA (tRNA) molecules are approximately 80 nucleotides in length. Their secondary structure includes four short double-helical elements and three loops (D, anti-codon, and T loops). Further hydrogen bonds mediate the characteristic L-shaped molecular structure. tRNAs have two regions of fundamental functional importance: the anti-codon, which is responsible for specific mRNA codon recognition, and the 3' end, to which the tRNAs corresponding amino acid is attached (by aminoacyl-tRNA synthetases). tRNAs cope with the degeneracy of the genetic code in two manners: having more than one tRNA (with a specific anti-codon) for a particular amino acid; and 'wobble' base-pairing, i.e. permitting non-standard base-pairing at the 3rd anti-codon position. The record is from Rfam.
UGGGGUAUAGCCAAGCGGUAAGGCAGCGGGUUUUGAUCCCGCCAUCCCAGGUUCGAAUCCUGGUACCCCAG